RNAcentral lists this ribosomal RNA (507 nucleotides) under uncultured dinoflagellate. Its description in RNAcentral is "bacterial SSU rRNA". It matches the Rfam family "Bacterial small subunit ribosomal RNA", at positions 375 to 896 of the family's 1533-position model. Lineage: Eukaryota; Dinophyceae. The record is from RNAcentral.
GCGAAAGCCUGACGGAGCAAUACCGCGUGAGGGAUGACGGCCUGUGGGUUGUAAACCUCUUUUCUCAAGGAAGAAGUUCUGACGGUACUUGAGGAAUAAGCAUCGGCUAACUCUGUGCCAGCAGCCGCGGUAAUACAGAGGAUGCAAGCGUUAUCCGGAAUCACUGGGCAUAAAGCGUCUGUAGGUGGUUUGGUAAGUCUGCUGUUAAAGACUGGGGCUCAACCCCAGAAAAGCAGUGGAAACUGCUAGACUUGAGUGUGGUAGAGGUAGAGGGAAUUCCUAGUGUAGCGGUGAAAUGCGUAGAUAUUAGGAAGAACACCAAUGGCGAAGGCACUCUACUGGGCCAUAACUGACACUGAGAGACGACAGCUAGGGGAGCAAAUGGGAUUAGAUACCCCAGUAGUCCUAGCCGUAAACGAUGGAUACUAGAUGUUGCACGUAUUAACCCGUGCAGUAUCGUAGCUAAGGCGUUAAGUAUCCCGCCUGGAAAGUACGCUCGCAAGAGUG